RNAcentral lists this ribosomal RNA (460 nucleotides) under uncultured bacterium. RNAcentral's name for it is "partial 16S ribosomal RNA". It matches the Rfam family "Bacterial small subunit ribosomal RNA", at positions 338 to 795 of the family's 1533-position model. The record is from RNAcentral.
CCUACGGGGGGCAGCAGUGAGGAAUAUUGGUCAAUGGACGAGAGUCUGAACCAGCCAAGUAGCGUGAAGGAUGACUGCCCUAUGGGUUGUAAACUUCUUUUAUAUGGGAAUAAAAUGUUCCACGUGUGGGAUUUUGUAUGUACCCUAUGAAUAAGGAUCGGCUAACUCCGUGCCAGCAGCCGCGGUAAUACGGAGGAUCCGAGCGUUAUCCGGAUUUAUUGGGGUUAAAGGGAGCGUAGGUGGAUUGUUAAGUCAGUUGUGAAAGUUUGCGGCUCAACCGUAAAAUUGCAGUUGAAACUGGCAGUCUUGAGUACAGUAGAGGUGGGCGGAAUGCGUGGUGUAGCGGUGAAAUGCUUAGAUAUCACGAAGAACUCCGAUUGCGAAGGCAGUUCACUGGACUGCAACUGACACUGAGGCUCGAAAGUGUGGGUAUCAAACAGGAUUAGAUACCCUUGUAGUC